This 253-nucleotide ribosomal RNA is filed under the name uncultured bacterium. RNAcentral's name for it is "partial 16S ribosomal RNA". It matches the Rfam family "Bacterial small subunit ribosomal RNA", at positions 524 to 776 of the family's 1533-position model. The record is from RNAcentral.
UACGAAGGGGGCUAGCGUUGUUCGGAAUUACUGGGCGUAAAGCGCGCGCAGGCGGCUAUCCAAGUCAGUGGUGAAAGCCCGGAGCUCAACUCCGGAACUGCCAUUGAAACUGUUUAGCUUGAGGACGAGAGAGGUGAGUGGAACUCCUAGUGUAGAGGUGGAAUUCGUAGAUAUUAGGAAGAACACCAGUGGCGAAGGCGGCUCACUGGUCCGGUACUGACGCUGAGGUGCGAAAGCGUGGGGAGCAAACAGG